ACAACAACUGUGGCUUUAGUGGAUUCUCAGUCAAAACCACAAUGGGGCAAGAGGAAGAAGAAUGAGAAAUUUGAGCGAAGCAGAGAAAAACACGGGGACAAGUAUACCAGAAUGCCAGUUCCGGAGACUAUCACAUGCAGCGAGAAGGCAUUCAGGAGCCUGUACGAACAAUGGGUCGAGCACGAAGUGGUGAAACCUCCAAGGCCCCGGUUGGUUAUGACGGAAGAGAUGAAAAGAAGACCAAAUUUCUGUGUAUACCACCAAUACGCGGGGCACUCCACUAUGGACUGUUACAGUCUGCGGAGGAUAUACCAUGAGAAGCUGGCGGCCGGGGAGAUUGAACUAGGAGAAGAAAUGUGCAACACUAUCACCCAUGGUGUAGUCCCGGAAGUAAAGAACCCAAAUACUGGCUCUACCAUCGAAAGAACUCUGAACUACAGAUGAAUUAAAAAUCCACCCAAGAUGGUGGUCCACCAAAAAUGGUGGUUUAAGUCCUCAGGAAUAUCCCUUGCCAAGUAAUUGGAUGACCAAGGGAGGAGGCACAAGAAUUGAC
Molecule: long non-coding RNA, 553 nt
Filed under: Panax ginseng (ginseng)
Lineage: Eukaryota; Viridiplantae; Streptophyta; Magnoliopsida; Apiales; Araliaceae
Description: long non-coding RNA (PGIN_LNC017756)
Source: RNAcentral